Molecule: long non-coding RNA, 1109 nt
Organism: Manis javanica (Malayan pangolin)
Lineage: Eukaryota; Metazoa; Chordata; Mammalia; Pholidota; Manidae
Source: RefSeq, a predicted model, not a curated record
UUGCUGCUAGAAGAAAAGAAAAGAAAAGAGUAUCUUACGUACUGAGUUGUGGCAUAACUUUUAGCAUUCGUGAGCUUCAGUGAUGAAUUUGUGUGAAUGUUCAAAUGCUAAUAUACGAAAACUGAGGAACGGAGGGGCCAAGUAAAUUGCUCAAGGACCCACGGCUAAUAAGUAGGGUGGUAAAGGCUCUGUUGUAACGGGUCCCAGGGUUCCUCACUGUACCCCGUGUUCUUCUUCCAAAACCUUCUUCACACCUCCUCAAAUUAUCCUAAAGUUCGAGUGUUACCUGUUUCCUGCUGGGACCUGACUGACACAGUUCUUGGAGGCUAGAGAUCUGAAAUCAAGGUGUUGGCGGGGCCCUGCUCCCUCUGAAGACUCGAGGGGAGAAUCCUCCCUUGUCACUUCCAGCCUCUGGUGGUUGCAGGAGAUCCUGGGCUGGUAGGCUCCUCAUUCCAGGUUCUACAAUGACCUUAUUCCCCAGUCAGGUCAUUUACAGGAACCACAGAUUUCAACUCUGCAAAAGAGCCUGAGGUGUGUCACAUGCCAAGAAAGACUGGGCACGUUUGUUGCUCAGCACAUGGACCAAAGACCGCUAGACACAAUGAUUUCAACAUAUGCCUCUCUGCUAAAAACAAAACAACACCCCGAGGAUGGGCCAGAGACUGCAGACAAAAUUUACAUUAAUUAAGAAAAUAAACAGUUUUCAAGUACUGUGGAACUGUCUAUAAACACCUACUCAGACAGUCCUAUUUUCAGUCUGGGAGACUGAGGCCCAUGAGGACCUGAUGGCUUUGUGCCUCAGAAGCUGCUCACGCUGGAUAUGGAGCACUUGCCUUGCAAAUUCCAGAUCAUUGUGAAAAGCUACUGACAAACGGCCCCAGUUUUUCCCACCUGGUCAUGCAACAUGCAGAGCAUCAUCCUGUCUCCUCUUCACCUCUAGCCAUGGAAGUCGGUGGCAUCAUGGUUCCCAUUGUGCAGGUGAAGAGCCCAGUACAUAGAGGUGAAGUCACUUGCUGCAGCUCACAGGGUUACUGCAGAGUUUCAGGCCUCACGCUCCUCAGACUUGGGGGCUGCCCAGUGGAAGGAGAUACCCAACUAUUUUUGACAUG